This 443-nucleotide ribosomal RNA is filed under the name uncultured bacterium. RNAcentral describes it as "partial 16S ribosomal RNA". It matches the Rfam family "Bacterial small subunit ribosomal RNA", at positions 338 to 795 of the family's 1533-position model. The record is from RNAcentral.
CCUACGGGUGGCAGCAGUAGGGAAUCUUCCGCAAUGGGCGCAAGCCUGACGCAGCAACGCCGCGUGAAGGAAGAAGGCUUUCGGGUUGUAAACUUCUGUUCUCAGGGACGAAGAAAGUGACGGUACAUGAUGAAUAACCCACGGCUAACUACGUACCAUCAGCCGCGGUAAUACGUAGGUGGCAAGCGUUAGACGGAUUUAUUGGGUGUAAAGUGCGGGUAGGCGGGAUCGCAAGUCAGAUGUGAAAACGCAGGGCUCAACCCUGAGCCUGCAUUGGAAACUGUGUUUCUUGAGUGCUGGAGAGGCAAGUGGAAUUCCGUGUGUAGCGGUGAAAUGCGUAGAUAUAUGGAGGAACACCAGUGGCGAAGGCGGAUUGCUGGACAGUAACUGACGCUGAGGCGCGAAAGCGUGGGGAGCAAACAGGAUUAGAUACCCGGGUAGUC